AGAAGAUCCUAGAGUACAAGUCUAGAUAGAAAAAGAAAAACUUUUCCUGUCUGCCUAAGAAGUUCAUUCUCUGGAGAAGUUCCAGGCUGGGGAACACCAGGUCUAAGAGAAGAUAGGGCCAAGGUGCUGCAUGAAAAACAAGGAGAUUAAGGGAAAUUCUGCUUGAUCUGUCUCUUGCCUGUCCUGCUGUUCCAUUUUGCAGUAUCUUAUGAGAUUCCUAAGAGUAUCCUGGACACAUUGAAGAGAAGGGUGAGCCUUACUCAUUUCCAGUGAGAGAAAUGAGUGAAAUGGGUCUGAUUUACAUCACAGUUCAGCCUUCUGUGGUGAAGUUGGUUUUCCUACUGUGACCUGUGCACUCCGGUCUACCAGCCUGACACUACACGCCAUCUGCUGGUUCCAAACUAUAUAGCUCCAGAGUAACUGCUGACGCUGUUGGGGAACAGAGGACCUGGCCUCCUGAAGAAGCACCAACAGGCCCUCUGCUUCAAGUUGUAGGUGUGAACAAAUCCAGACCACUAAGAGGCCCUCCAGUCCUCCUUGAAUUUGGGUAUGGAUCCUAAGAUUUGCUCCAGUACCUCUGCAGCCAGCACCCAGAGCAGCUAAUGAAAGGAUUCAAGCCGGACGUUCAGGGAUAAGGAGAGACGGCUACAAUGAUACUUCAAAUUGGAAUGAAAAGCCUGGAUUGAAGCCCUCUGCCUUCUGAAUUUUCUCUGAGGUUUGGUGCAGAGCUGAGUUUGGUAACCUCUGGAACAGAUGAUAAGCUUUUGGCAUUAAGUGAACCUGCACUUCGUCAGCAGCCCAGAACCCUGUUGCCUGUCAAACAUGGCUGCAUAAGCCAGAUUGAAUAAAACCAGAUCUACUGCAGGGCCCUGUUUCACACCAUUUCCAAUAGGAUAUGAAUCAGAGGAGAUAACAUCAACCAAACAGCCAGGAAAAGAGAGCCUGGUAAACCUUUCAAGGAGUUAUCCAAAGGCUCAAUGGACUGGAUUCCAAGAUGAUGCCCUCACCUGGCUACGACUGACACAGGAUGUUGUUUAGGAGCUCAGCUGGGGACUGUCAGCUGGGGUAGCUAUCUGUGAUGUCUUCUUGUGUCUAAGCUUUUCAUAGUUUAGUGGCUGGGUCCCUAUGCAAAGUAUCACAAGAGCAAGUGGGAAGUAUCUUUGAAGAUGCAGGAAGUGGAAGCUGCCAGUCCUUUUAAAGACUAGGAACCGUAAUUGAUUUGUGUCACUUCUGCUAUAUUCUGUUGGCAAAGGCAAUCACAGGUCAGCCCAAAUUUUAGCAGAUGGAGGAUAUAGGCUUCACUUGUAUAAGGUAUGAUGUGGUAAUUCAAUAUGUAUGCUGCAUGUAGUGAUCAAAUCAGGGCAAUUAACAUUUCUUUCUCCACAAACAUUUAUUACUUUGCUGUGUUGAGAACCCUUGCACUUCACUCUUCUAUUCUGUAUAAAAUAUAUGGUGAAUUAUUGUGCACUAUACAGAUUUCACUUCUUAGUGGAGGAAUAAGUACAGCAUGGAAGGAGGGAAGGAAAUGAUGGCAGCCUUCUUGGAGAAAGUUACCACAUGAUAUGUCCCCAGACAAAUGUGUAGGUUCAGUGAAGCUCCCACAGGAUGGACUCAGGUUGACUGCCAAUCAAAGAGUUAUGGAGAAAAUAAACCCAUUUGCAAAAAAUAAAAUCAAAUCUUCACUCUCCCCGCUCUCUACCCCAGUAGUGUUCCGCACUCACCAAACACACACCUGGAGGCAGAAUGAGAUGGCUCAGAACUCUAACAAAGCAGCUGGUGGAACUGAGCUGUGGGGUAAGGGCUUAUGUCACUAUUUUAUCCUUUGACUAUUCCCUCAUGCUGGUGUGGCCUAGAAAAUUACCUGUUACAUACAAGUAAAAAUUCAGACUCAGAGGACUAAGAUUUACCAUCAUCAAGACAAUUCAAAAGAGUAUGCUGUAGGUUUGAAGACAAUUUCCAGAGAGACACACAUUCUCAGAAUGUUUCCAGUAAUGACAAAAUCAUUGGAAUAAGCGGCUGACCUCCUCCCUGGGGGACUAUGCUCAUUAAGAUGUAUGUGUUCAGGACUGUUAAAAUUCCAGCUCAUUAUCUAAUAGUUGUACCUUGUGCACUUGGAUACCUCUGAAAAUGCUUCCAGCCCUUCCAUUUCAGUCAUAACAACCAACUGACAGUCUCCUAUACUUUUGAGAGGCUUUAAGGGAAGGUUCUUAUAGCAAAGUUAAAAGUGAAAAGGAAAAACUCAAAAGGAAGUACCACUAUUGAUAACCCUGUCUAUUCAUUUCCCUUGAAGUAAUUUAAGACCAUGAGGAAAGAAUUCUUCCUAGCUUUAGGGUCAGUGCUCAAGUCUUCAUUCAUUCUUUUCUCUCUUUAAUUUGCACAUUCCAGCAGGGAAACUGUAUUCCAAUCUCAAGAACAAUUCCAGAGCCCAAGCCAACUGUGCUGUGGAAGCAAUGUGAAUCAAUAUUCAUUGAUCACUAGCAUUUGUUCUUUGGCCUCUAAUUCAAAUGUCCUUUCCACUAGAAGCCUCCUCUAAACUUUCUUUUCCUGUGGUAGAAUCUAAUCAUUCCCACCACCAUAUUCCCUUUCGGUAAAGCAUUUGACUCUGCAUUUAAUUCUUUUUUCUCCCUUUUUAAUUUAUAACUAAAUUAUGAGCAGCUUGAGAUCAAUUAUCAGUUACAUUCAUGCUUAGGUCUCCAGUACCAAGCACAAAGUCUGGCAUCUGAGGGAGUACUCAAUCAAUGUUUGUUCAAUGAAUAAAUGUGGUAAGAGGUCUUCCAGAAGUAUGCCAAUAGGGUGCACUGGAGAGCCAACGAGUUCAGUUUAAUUAUAUCUAAAAUAAGAGAUAUGUCUCUAAGGAAGUAGCUUCACAAAUAUGAGAGGAUAAAAUACACAUGCAAAUAAAAUCUGGACAUUAAAGAAUAUGGUACAGAGAAGGCACUCUAUUUUAUGAGAUUUGAGUGAGUUACAAAACCAGCUCAGGAUCUAAGGAGCAGAGGGAUCUUUUGUUUAUCCACUCAAGUCUAAAAAUCUAAUGUACAUGUGACAAAAUUAAUAUUGUAUCAUUGUAUUAGUGAUUUUUAUUAUAAAAAUAAAUUGUAGCUACUCUCACAAAAAGUGAACAUAUGAGAUGUCAGAUAUGUUGGUCUACUUUACUAUGGUAGACAUUUUACUAUCUAUAUAUAUUUCCUAACAUCAUAUUGUAAACUUCAAAUACACACAGUGAAAUUUAUUUAAAAACUCAUUUGCUGAUCACCUUCUACAAAUUAUAUACUCCUAAUUCUCAUUUAAGAACUUUCAUGUUUCCUGAAAACACUGCCACUAAACUUAAAAACUUAAAUGUCAAAAUAUUUUUAUUCAUAUUGAAGGAAAAAAUUUGUUGUGUUUCAUGUGUAAGAUACCAAACCUAAGGUAUCGAUUUCCGCAGAUACAAAAAUGUACCAAGUUGAAUGAUGAAAACAAAAGUAUUUGUAAGCAUGCACUAUGUUCAUUGCCUCAUUGUUCACAAUAGCAAAGAUAUAGAAUCAAUUUCAGUAUUUAUCAGUGGAUGAAUAGAUGAAGAAAUAUGACAAAUAUGCACUAUGAAAUACAAUUCAGUUUUUAAAAAGAAGAAAAUCCUGUCGAUUACAGCACCAUGGAUGAAUCUGGGGGACAUUACAUCAAGUGAAAUAAGUCAGAAAGAGCAUGACAAAUGGUUCAUGAUCUCACUCAUGUGUGGAAUCUAAAGUUGAACUCACAGAAGAGUAGAAUUGUGACUACCAGAGCCUGGAGGUAGUACUUGGAGAGAUGUUAGUGAAGGGAUACCAAAAAAUCAGUUAGAUAGGAGGAAUAAAUUUAAGAUAUCUAUUGUAUAAGAUGGAGAAUACAGUUAAUAACAAUGUACAGUAAGUCCCUGACUUACAAACAUUCAAGUUGCAAACUUUCACAGAUAUGAAUGGACCUCACAUUUUGAACAUUCAUAGAUAUGAACAAAUCGUGGAUGUAGCUCAUGUGUCCGCUGGACACUGUCACAAUUGUGCUGCUGUGUGCUUACUGUACAGUGCAAUAGUGGACAGUAGUACAGUGCUGAAUCAGAGCUCAGGAUGUCCAGAAGCAAAAAAAAAAAAAAAACAGUAGUGGUGAUGUGGAGGGGACUGCUAGGAAGGACAAAGCAAUAUACAUAGUACUGCAUAGAGGUGUAUAAGACUCCUGUUGUCUGACUCACAAACAAAUCUUAUGAACAUUCACCCGGAAUGGAGCUUGUUGGUAUGUUGGAGAUUUAACUGUAAUAUAAUCUUGAAAAUACAGUGGUACCUCAGUUCACAAACUUAAUUUGUUCCAUGAUUCUGGAAAAGAUAGCCACAUUCUUGUUAGUACAGGAAACAUGGCCACGGUUGUGUUUGUGCCUGAAAGAUGUGUGGUCAUGUUCAUCACCUGAUGUACAGUUCACAAACAAAAACAAAAAUUUGCGAAAUUGUUCCCAAACAAAAGCAUGUGUGAACCAAGGUACCACUAUAGAUUAUAAGUGUUCUCACCACAUGAACUUAUAAGCAUGAGAGAUGAUGCACAUGGUAAACAGCAAAAUCUAGCUAUUCCGUAAUGUAUAUAUAUUACAAAUAUUAGUUGUAUCUAUUUAUCAUGCUGUAUAAUAAAUAUAUACAAUUGUAAUUUGUUAAUUAAAAUAAAAAUUUUAAAGUAUUUAUAAAUAAUAAAUUUUGAAAAUAAAU
Molecule: long non-coding RNA, 4703 nt
Filed under: Heterocephalus glaber (naked mole-rat)
Lineage: Eukaryota; Metazoa; Chordata; Mammalia; Rodentia; Bathyergidae
Description: lncRNA (ENSHGLG00100040515.1)
Source: RNAcentral